RNAcentral lists this long non-coding RNA (2167 nucleotides) under Salmo salar (Atlantic salmon). RNAcentral's name for it is "lncRNA (ENSSSAG00000112767.1)". The record is from RNAcentral. Lineage: Eukaryota; Metazoa; Chordata; Actinopteri; Salmoniformes; Salmonidae.
AUUAUUAUUAUUAUUAUUAUUAUUAUUAUUAUUAUUAUUACUGAUUUAUAGCGUUGUCUUUAUUGCGUUAUUAUUGUUAGUUUUAGGGGUUCGCUGAGCACACCUCUAAACACAUUUUCCACUUCCCUAGAAACGAGGUCUAGGGGCUAGGACUACAGUGUAGAUAAUAUCUGUAAGCCGUUCACUACAGUGGGCAACACUACACGUCCCCUCUACAUUACACAAUAUUAUACCGAACUAAACUUCCAGUGCACAACAUCAUAUUCUCACAAUACUUCACGCUAUACACAAAUCACUCAGAAUUAUAUAAUAUUUCAUCACUACUAUAGAGGUACCGGCUAGCUUUUUAUUGCAUUGUGAAUGUUAGGCUUAGACAUAUAUCACUAUCAUUGAAACAACCAGAACCUAGUGACCUAGAAUACUUAUUCAGUUAUGUUUCUUUGAAAAGUUAUGAUAGAGAUGUUUUAUUUGGCUAUAUGAUUGAUUUCCCUAACUUGUUCUGUCUUUUAGAAGAGCAGGUAAACAUCAAGUACAGUCUUCCUGAGAAUAGCUACGUUGGUAAUAGAUAGUGAGAGUCUGUCAACAGGCGUUGAAAGAGGGACACCAUCAAUAUGAAAAAUAUUUAAUGCAAAAUACCAUACUAUUGUGCAUAUUUCUAUAUCCUUAUACUCUAUUUCCAAAUGUGGUUGUUUUUGCCUUUUUUUUGUGUUCCAAAGAUUUGUAGAAAAGCACACUUUUAGUCAUGUGUAUGAUAAAUAUAUUGUCGUUAUUGUGGUUAUUAUUAUAAGUGCUGUCUUUUUAUUUGUUGCAUUAGCUCUUGUUAUAUUUUUUCUAUUGGUAAAUGUUGUUGUUCCUCCUAAAGUAAGGUGACAUUUUCAUUUCCUCCAAGAUUAGUUGAAAUCUGAUUUUUUUUUCCUCCAUUGUUGUUUUCUUGGGCAGAGGGGAAUGGACUAUUUGGUAGUUUCAAAGAGGGAGGGAACCAUUUUACUGCUACUAAUGCCACUAUGACAUCAGCCUAUCUAGUGUUCUAUAUCUAUGGAGCGAAAAAACGGGAACGCAUGUAAAACUAAACUAUCAAAAAAAAUCUCAAUGGAAGAAACGGGAGUUUUUGGUCCAGACUGAAAUAGGGUGAUGGGGGUUGGCAAGCAUUGGAUUGAGUAUUUCCCCCCCAAAAAAAUAGGGAAAGGCUGAAAUGUUCGGGCCUCACAAUUUAUUCAAAAUCCAAAGUUUACAGUAGACAAAAAUACCUUGGAAUGAAUGGUGGCCUGACAAGCACUUCUUCUGACCUGGUGAAGUAACCUAGUCGAUCUGUCGUAGACAAAGACAACUAACAUUUCAGUGCUGAAAUUAGUCGGUUAAGGUUUAAAACGGAUGUGAAGAGCGUAGCACUCGUGUGCUGUCUAGGUUAAAGGGCAUGCAGUUUUGAAUGAUCCAAGUAUACAAAAGGUUGUAAGUGUUAUCGUUUGGUUUGUACAAUGGUAAAUGUUUCAAAGCAGUUUUACAAAGAAAAUGUUAUGUGGGGCAUGAACUAAUUACUAUGAAACAAUAUUUCAAAAUGCUGCAGUCAUUGUUUAUUUUGAAAUGUUUGCUCUAUUUUUCAUUUUAUCUUCGGUUUUCUGGCUGUGUGUACCACUCUUCUCAGUGUGAACCUAAUCUAAGACCCCUGACCUAACUGUUUUGCAUGAUUUGUCUGUCUUUUGAGAUCAGACUCCAACAGCAUUCGGUUGCAGUAGUCAUCUUUUGCCACUAAACACCAUUGAGAAUGCUAGGCAGCUAGCCCUUUUUUUAUGCUUAGGAUGCUAGUGUAGCAAAGAAGAGCAGAGUGCUGUUUGUCAAAGACUCAGGCCCAGUGAUGGGCAAAACAAAAUGGCCGCCACGAGGCAAGAACACAAUGGCAACGUUCUAAUUUCCAUACCAGCAUAUUACUUUGAAUUCAUACCUUGAUACAGUGCUUCAUACUAAGUAGUAUACUUGUGUGGAUAUUGGAACAGAGCCAUGGAGUAGGCUCAUUCCUUGUCAUGUUUUUUUGGCUCCUUGUAUGAUAUACAGUGAGGUGGUUCUUAAUCACUAUAGGUUCCAAAUGGAAGUGACUGUCCUUUUACGAAUCUCUUCCCCUCUCAUGUUUAUCCCUUGGCUGCCAUUAUGCUAUUUUGUUAGUGAAUGUCCA